Sciurus carolinensis (gray squirrel) is the source of this 3119-nucleotide long non-coding RNA. RefSeq lists it as uncharacterized. The transcript has 3 exons. NCBI's taxonomy places the organism in Eukaryota, Metazoa, Chordata, Mammalia, Rodentia, Sciuridae. The record is from RefSeq and is a predicted model, not a curated record.
UAGUUGAGACUCCUGUUUACCCUCAUUUUUCAUAUGCUGGUUAUUUUGUAGUUUCUUUCUCCUCUCCCAUUUACAAUUGUCAUCUCCCUCACCUUUGGUUCCUUUUUUCUCCAUUAUCCUUUUUCCCAUCUAUUUCUAUUUCUUCUUAAAUUUGUAUUAAGUGUUAAUAACAUUGACUUGAAAUAUAUUUUAAUAGACCUUAUACUCUUUCACCUCUUUUUUUUUUUUAGAAGACAAGACACAGGAAGAAAAUGAUAUGGGAGGUUGCUGAGCCAAAAUGGCGAAGGUAGAGAGACGAUCACAUAAGCAUUUCGUAUGGGAUGCAUCGGACGUAAUUUAGAUGCAUCUCCAGUUAUGCAAAGCGAGAGUGGGAAAAAGCAAGCAGGCGGCGGUGCGGCGUGCAGAGAGCUGUCCAGUGCCGGAGGUGCUGAAACCGGGACUAGCUCUGUCCAGCCCUCUGCGAGGAACGGCGGCGGCAGCGGCGGCAGCUAGAGCAGCCGCCAGAGCGUUGGCAGCCACUUCCUAUGCUCAUCGGAUCGUUUCAAACACUCAGGGUGUAAAGAGGCUUUUCAUAUUUUCAUACCAGCUCUGAUUCCCAGUCCAUAGUUUGGACCGUGAAUGCUGGCUUUUAAAAUGCGGAUUUCUCUGAAAAGCCUGCCUAAAAGGUUACAUAGCUUGGGUUGGGUGAUAGGAUCUUCUUCGCUGCUGGUUAGGGAUUUUUUCCUCCCUUUAGAAUUAGCUGCUGUGAAAAUUUCACCCUGGAAACGGGAAGCAGCAGCAGCGGCAUCAGCUGGUUCCGACUUUCAUUGCCUUCGCCGGGUUUCCAGGGGAGGGGUGGGUUUCAGAUAUAAGCUUCCCACUACACACUUCUCUCAGCUCAGAGCUCCUCUGAAGCCCUUGACAUUUCCCCCCCUCAACUGCCUCUUUGCCCUGGGGCAGAAGGAUUAAGUUAACCCCAAGUCUGCUAAAACAUUUAGAAGAACUAAAUCCACCCCAAAGUUCAGUAGGAGGGGGAAAGAGGGCCUGGUUCAAUUUUCUCUUUGGUGUAGCCAUUCAAUGUGCUAAAGCAUAUGGUUUAUUUCCCACCCCAGCAGAACAAUAAAAAUGGUAUCAACCUACGUCUUCUUAGCAGGGGGUGGGGGCUGGAAGGGAACCCUUCCACCCCCAGCUUAACUACUCUAUAGGAAGAAAGAAAAGGGAAGGAACGGGGAAAAGCUAUAGAGCUCAACCAAUCAACUUUAUUAUCAUUACACGUGUUCUGUGUUGAAUGCACCAAUUGUCACCUCCCCUCCCCCAGGCAAGGAAACUCUCCAGCUAGCAAACCUGUAUGUAUGAGUGUGUUUAAAUUUUAAGCCAAGUUACUAUCUGUGUUAAAAAUGACUAUAAAACUUGGAUUGAAAAACACAUGGCUUGAAGUUAAUUUUGAGGUGAUACUUUUGAUUUGCCUUCUACAUCUUUGAAUGCCUAAAACUAUUGGCUUAAAUAUGCAUGCAGUCUAUUUCAGAGACUCAAUGAGAGGUUUCUCUGAGACAGUUGGACUUCCAAUUUGAGUUACAGAAUAUAGUUCACACUUAUCCAUUUUUGGUAUAUAUAAGCAAUACCUUUUAAUAUUCAUGAUUUGCUAUCAUUAAAAUUUAUGACUCAAUACACUCUUAAUUACAACUCCUUUUAAGAAAGAAUACAUUUUAUUUGGGGAAAGUUAGAUGAAAAUAUACUGAACUUCCCCCAAAUACCUCAAAGUAUUAGUCAAUUUGAAAUGUUGUCUCUUUUCUUUUUUUGAUACCAUACCAUCAUACCAAAUUUUCAAAACAAAAUCAGUUAUACUUUCAACUGCAAUAGUAUUAAAUUUAAAUUCUAUCUUAUCUUAGCAGCACAUCAAUUUAUUUCAUUAGUUGUCUGUCUCUUAUCUUCUUGUAACAAACAGUUAAGGCCAAAUGAAAAACAUACAUCUCAGCUGAUCAAAGUUUAAAGAAGGAAGAUACACUUAAGAGAAUUUGACAUAUUUUAAAACACAACAUCUGCAUUAUUCAUUCUGGAUGGCAGUUUUACUUUAAUGCAGUAUCUCUGCUUUCAAGAUGGAGUCCAGUACUAAUGCUUUUCACAUUAUGUGGUUAUGCCCAAUAAACUGAUUCAAUAUCUUAACAAGGAAGAACUUUACUGUAAAUAAGACUUCAUAUGAGACACAGUUAUAUAUUUAUAUUCAUGUAAUGAGAGUUCAUUACUCAAGAUUAUAUUAACAUCACUAGACUUUGGUUGUCAGAUAUAAAGUCUAUAUUCAAUAUAAUGUUGCUAGACUCUGAAGAUAAUGCAAAUUUUACAUGACAUCUUUAGAAAACUGGGUCAAUUUGCUUUACUCAGUACAGUGAUUGCAUUGCUGACCUGGCCCAGCCCCAGGCAGAAUAGGGAAGUAAAUAACUGUGGUCUCUAUGCUUUAGUCCUUCACUGUUCCCUGCACUCCCUGCCUGGAUAUGAAAUAUUUCUAAUCUCACAGAGGCCCUUUUUAUGUGUACCUUCCUGAGGCCACAUUACCUGUGUCCUUACCUUUCUUCAUAACUAUUAUCCCUUUAAUGACUUUAUCUGAUUAAAUUAAUGUAUAUUAAGGUUUCAGAUACCAAUUACAGCUUAACAUAUUUCUCUUAGUUUAAAAGAAGACAUAUAAUUCAAAAUAAUAUGUCUGAUAGGACAACAUCAGAAUUUGAAAUGUGUUAGUAGGAGAGAAGAUCUUUUGAAGGGUGAGAGGAUAGCUACCAAACUCUGUACUAGGUUGCUCUUAAGAUUUGGGUAAUAAGUGUGAUACUGUUCUAAUGCUAAUAUUUAUAUUGUUUCAUAAAAUUUCUUGAUAUUUGAAGAUCACAUAAAACUUCCAAUUUUUAAUGACUAGUAUACAUGUAACUGUUACUGCAAACCCUAUAUUACACACUGCCUAUAUUUUCAAACUUUUCAUAGUUUAUUCCUGUUGUACAAAAUUCUUUGAAAGCAUGGUGACCAUGGCUAAUUGAUUUCAGGGAGAUCUUAUGAAGCAAACUGAUAUAUUGUAGAGCUAAUGUGAAUCAAAGCAACUUCCUUAUUCUGCACAGAGCAAGGGUUUUAAAUGUGGACUAUUGAAGUGGUCAUAUUAU